GCCCAGAUGGCGGAACCGGUAGACGCGCGUGACUCAAACUCACGUUUCGAAAGAAGUGCAGGUUCGAUUCCUGUUCUGGGCACAA
RNAcentral lists this transfer RNA (85 nucleotides) under Pseudobacter ginsenosidimutans. RNAcentral's name for it is "tRNA-Leu". It matches the Rfam family "tRNA". From Rfam's summary of the family: Transfer RNA (tRNA) molecules are approximately 80 nucleotides in length. Their secondary structure includes four short double-helical elements and three loops (D, anti-codon, and T loops). The record is from RNAcentral. Lineage: Bacteria; Pseudomonadati; Bacteroidota; Chitinophagia; Chitinophagales; Chitinophagaceae.